Long non-coding RNA from Oncorhynchus keta (chum salmon), 170 nucleotides. RefSeq lists it as uncharacterized. The record is from RefSeq and is a predicted model, not a curated record. The transcript has 3 exons. Lineage: Eukaryota; Metazoa; Chordata; Actinopteri; Salmoniformes; Salmonidae.
CCAGGUUCCAGUAACUACUACCUAUGUAUUUGUCCUGGUUCCAGUAACUACUACCUAUGUAUGUGUCCAGGUUCCAGUAACUACUACCUAUGUAUUUGUCCUGGUUCCAGUAACUACUACCUAUGUAUGUGUCCAGGUUCCAGUAACUACUACCUAUGUAUUUGUCCUGG